RNAcentral lists this ribosomal RNA (298 nucleotides) under uncultured bacterium. RNAcentral describes it as "partial 16S ribosomal RNA". It matches the Rfam family "Bacterial small subunit ribosomal RNA", at positions 333 to 629 of the family's 1533-position model. The record is from RNAcentral.
AAUUGCCUACGGGAGGCAGCAGUGAGGAAUAUUGGUCAAUGGUCGGGAGACUGAACCAGCCACGCCGCGUGAGGGAUGAAGGUACAGAGUAUCGUAAACCUCUUUUGUCAGGGAACAAAGGCGGGGACGUGUCCCCGGAUGAGUGUACCUGAAGAAAAAGCAUCGGCUAACUCCGUGCCAGCAGCCGCGGUAAUACGGAGGAUGCGAGCGUUAUCCGGAUUUAUUGGGUUUAAAGGGUGCGCAGGCGGUCUGUUAAGUCAGCGGUCAAAGCCCGGGGCUCUACCCCGGCCCGCCGUUG